Molecule: ribosomal RNA, 497 nt
Filed under: uncultured bacterium
Lineage: Bacteria
Description: partial 16S ribosomal RNA
Rfam family: Bacterial small subunit ribosomal RNA
Source: RNAcentral
GAUGAACGCUGGCGGCGUGCCUAAUACAUGCAAGUCGAGCGAACAGAUGAGGAGCUUGCUCCUCUGACGUUAGCGGCGGACGGGUGAGUAACACGUGGAUAACCUACCUAUAAGACUGGGAUAACUUCGGGAAACCGGAGCUAAUACCGGAUAAUAUAUUGAACCGCAUGGUUCAAUAGUGAAAGACGGUUUUGCUGUCACCUAUAGAUGGAUCCGCGCCGCAUUAGCUAGUUGGUAAGGUAACAGCUUACCAAGGCAACGAUGCGUAGCCGACCUGAGAGGGUGAUCGGCCACACUGGAACUGAGACACGGUCCAGACUCCUACGGGAGGCAGCAGUAGGGAAUCUUCCGCAAUGGGCGAAAGCCUGACGGAGCAACGCCGCGUGAGCGAUGAAGGUCUUCGGAUCGUAAAACUCUGUUAUUAGGGAAGAACAAAUGUGUAAGUAACUAUGCACGUCUUGACGGUACCUAAUCAGAAAGCCACGGCUAACUACGUG